Drosophila arizonae is the source of this 505-nucleotide long non-coding RNA. The record is from RefSeq and is a predicted model, not a curated record. NCBI's taxonomy places the organism in Eukaryota, Metazoa, Arthropoda, Insecta, Diptera, Drosophilidae.
AAAAGUCUGUUUGGAUUUGGUUAUAUUUUUUAUAUUUUCCUUUUCUAAUUUCACUUUAUUAAGACGAAAUUAUAAAUUUGACGUUUGGUAAAAUUGAGUUUCAAAAAACAUUUGUUAUCCAUGUAAGUUAGCUGGUUUAACUUGUUGUUAGACUACAUGUUAGGGUUAGUUAUUACUGAGGGCACUUCAUGCUAAUGCAAGUUCUUCAAAUCGUGUCAAAUCACAAAGGGUAUAUAUGUAUGUAUAUAUAUGUAAAUGCAUGAAAAAUACAACAACUGGACACGAAGGUCGCGUCCUUGUGAGUCAACGACGCACACGAAAUCCUUCGAGUGCGCAUACAAUAUUUAGAUAUUACGAUAGAAUUUUCAUAGCGUUACACUUAGGAUUAAACACAAAUAGUACAAAGUGCUUGAAUUCAACAUUCAAUUUAGAUCUCAUAUGAUAGUCACGCCAAUUGGGUUAGUUUCACUUCUUUAGUUAGGAUUAGGAUUGUUUAGAUUCGUUU